This 1596-nucleotide ribosomal RNA is filed under the name Triticum aestivum (bread wheat). RNAcentral describes it as "partial small subunit ribosomal RNA". Lineage: Eukaryota; Viridiplantae; Streptophyta; Magnoliopsida; Poales; Poaceae. The record is from RNAcentral.
AUGGCGCGGUGCUUGGUCUUCAUGGUGUUCCAGAUAUACUGCCUCAUCUCGACCGUGGGCCUGCCGCUGGAGCCCGCGGAGCUGCUGCAGCUGGGCGGCGACGUGGGCGGCGGCCGCCUCAGCACCGACCCGGCCGACGUCCUGGAGGCGUCCCGCGACUUCGGCGGGUUCACCCGGGGCGAGCCGUUGGCGGUGUACCACCCGAGCGGGGCCGGCGACGUCGCGGCGCUGGUCCGGGCGGCGUACGGGUCUGCCCGCGACAUCCGCGUGUCGGCGCGCGGCCACGGGCAUUCCAUCAGAGGGCAGGCGCAGGUGGCCGGCGGGGUGGUGGUGGACAUGAGCCGCGGGGGCAAGGCGCCGUCGCGCGCAUUGCCGGUGUACUCGCCGGAGCUGGGCGGGCACUACGUGGACGUGUGGGGCGGCGAACUGUGGAUCGACGUGCUCAACUGGACGCUCUCGCACGGCGGGCUGGCGCCGCGGUCCUGGACGGACUACCUCUACCUGUCCGUGGGCGGCACCCUCUCCAACGCCGGCAUCAGCGGCCAGGCGUUCCACCACGGGCCCCAGAUCAGCAAUGUCUACGAGCUCGACGUCGUAACCGGGAAGGGCGAGGCGGUGACCUGCUCGGAGGCGAAGAACCCGGAGCUCUUCUUCGGCGCGCUGGGCGGGCUGGGGCAGCUCGGGAUCAUCACGCGCGCUCGCAUCGCCCUCGAGCCUGCUCCCCGCAAGGUUCGCUGGAUCCGGGCGCUCUACUCCAACUUCACCGAGUUCACGGCGGACCAAGAGCGGCUCAUCUCCCAGUCGCAGCACGGCGGCGGCCGCCGGUUCGACUACGUGGAGGGCUUCGUGGUCGCCGCCGAGGGCCUCAUCAACAACUGGAGGUCCUCCUUCUUCUCGCCGCAGAACCCAGUGAAGCUCAGCUCGCUCAAGCACCACACCGGCGUGCUCUACUGCCUGGAGGUCACCAAGAACUACGACGACUCAACCGCCGCCACCGUUGAUCAGGAGGUUGACGCGCUGCUGGGCGACCUGAACUUCCUCCCGGGCACGGUGUUCACGACGGACCUGGCGUACGUGGACUUCCUGGACCGGGUGCACACGGCGGAGCUGAAGCUGCGCGGCAAGGGCAUGUGGGAGGUGCCGCACCCGUGGCUGAACCUGUUCGUGCCGGCGUCGCGCAUCGCCGACUUCGACCGCGGCGUCUUCCGCGGCAUCCUCGGCAGCCGCACCUCCGGCGGGCCCAUCCUCAUCUACCCCAUGAACAAGCACAAAUGGGACCCGAGGAGCUCGGUGGUGACGCCGGACGAGGAGGUGUUCUACCUGGUGGCGUUCCUGCGGUCGGCGCUGCCGGGCGCGCCGCAGAGCCUCGAGGCGCUGGCGCGGCAGAACCGGGAGAUCCUCGACUUCUGCGCCGAGGCCGGGAUCGGGGCCAGGCAGUACCUGCCCAACCACAAGUCACAGCCCGAGUGGGAGGCCCAUUUCGGGGAGGAGAGGUGGGCGCGGUUCGCGGGCCUCAAGGCCCAGUUCGACCCGAGGGCCAUGCUGGCCACCGGGCAGGGCAUCUUCCCGCCGCCGGCGCUCCUGUCCGAUUUUUGA